UGGAGUGGAAAGACCCAUGCACUCAGGUC
This 29-nucleotide non-coding RNA is filed under the name Homo sapiens (human). The record is from RNAcentral. Lineage: Eukaryota; Metazoa; Chordata; Mammalia; Primates; Hominidae.